Non-coding RNA from Triticum urartu, 2545 nucleotides. The record is from RefSeq and is a predicted model, not a curated record. Lineage: Eukaryota; Viridiplantae; Streptophyta; Magnoliopsida; Poales; Poaceae.
UGAAGGUCUGAUUGGUGCAGCCUCCUGGAAAGCCCAUUGGCCCCCCAAUCCCCACAGCCGCCCGCCCGCACCUCUCCCGCCUCCGGUCCUCCCUUCUCUCAGCCGCCACCCCACGAACCCUAGCCGUGCCCUCCUGCAUCUGUCCUCCUCCCCCUUCCUGGUCCGUCCCAAGCCCCUCCUCGUCUCAUGAGCUAGCCGAGGAAAAGAGGGGUGACGCGACGACCUGGUCGUCGGCCGGUGGGGAGCCUCGUAGAGGCGGUGGCGGAGACGACCCUAGAUGGUGCCCCGGCCAGGAUCUGGACAGGGUGCCUCAACCUCGUCUUCCUCUUCCACCUACUCGCUGAUAGAGACGGCAGCAGCGGUGGGAGGAGCCUAGGCGUAGAGGAGGGAAGUGGACGAGGGGGGUGCAAAGGCAGGAGAUGGGGGUCGCCGGAUGAGCACAGUCGCACAGGGCCUGAUCCCGCCGCUGCUAGAGCAGAGUGGAGGACCACAGGGCCCGAUGGGGUGGCUGGGAGCGUGCGGCAUCUGGCUCCCAAGCAGGGAAUGCAGUGGUGCUGGCCUCUCCUCUCCCUGCGCCUUUGUCCUGCGUCAUCACUACCGCCACGGCCUUGCUCGCCAUUGACCUCCCCAAGUGCUUCUCUCCACAAAUGGUGCCGCCAUGUCCAGAUCAAUUCAAGCGCCAGGAAAGUACAACACGUGCAUAACUUGUUUGAGGAAAUUCCAUCUGGAAGCAAUAUUUGAUCAUGACUUGUCUUCUUGAUGCUUCAUCUGCGGCUAGCUGACUACAACAUCACAUAUGUAAAGGGAAACCAUCGUAAGAAACACAGGUAAAAAGGCAUUUUCCUUGUUCUUAUAGUUUUGGAUCAAAGUUCACAUUUUACCUUGAGUGACUCUUUUUUUGUUAUAGAAUGGAUUCAACAAUAAUCAAUAAGGAAGUGCAAACUGAGAGGGGUGGGAAAAAUAACCUAAGUAAAGAGCUAAUAUGAAAUGCUACUUUCCAGUGAUUUGUUGUGACCUGUUAAUUUUUUAGUAUGGAGCUUGAAGUUUUAAUGCAGAUAGGAAGUUUCAUUUUAUUCUUAUCCACAUGCUUACUAAAUUUACAUUUUUAUUUCAUUUCUGGAAAGAGGCAACCUUAAAUAAUUUAGAGGACUCUUCAGAUUAUAAGAGAAAAGCCAUAUAGGUCAUAAAUGCAUAGGCAUUCCAAAAAAAGGCACAAAAAUUGAGCUAGAAGGUAUGUAUAAAUUCAUGUGAAACUGAGACAUAGGCAAGCAUACAUAGGAAUUUUGCAGGAUCAUUCCUACGAUCUGGAGGGCCAUUAUAGCCAGAUUUACCUAACGUCUCUAAGAAAAUCUUUUGAAACUCGGACCAUCCAGAUAUAUCAACAUGGAAAAGCCUGCUGAAAGAAACUUUUGUAGCUGAAGAUGCUUGAUUAUACUUCCUAUGGGCUUGUUUUGAAAAGAAUUUUUCCUGGCAUGCCAUAUGUGAGCCCCCAACCAUCUCUCUCUCUCCCGCACUCAUUUUCUCUCUCUCACGUUUUGCCUUUGAGGCUGUAGAUCUAAGCACUAGCUGUUUGUAAAAAUGCUCAAGGUGGGCUGCUUAGAGGAGGGCAGUAUGUUCUACAGUUUCAGUUAUAUGAUUACAUACAACUAAACAAAAGUUUACAUGAUUCUAUAAUUAUUGUUGGAGAUUUUUACUCACAGUAAAUUUCUUCAAAGGAUCUGUUUAAAGACAACAGGCAUAUAUUUGUACAGAGAUCAUAUUAUUUUGAUACCCAUAUGAAGUUGGUGGUUCAUGGAGACCCAAGGUGCACUGACAGAAGAUAUCAGAGGAGCAGAGGAAAAUGCAAGUGUGUAUGUGUGAAAAAUUAUUGCUUUAACUCAAGAUCAGUUGUUCGUUCUUUCAAGCGCUAUGUUGCUUACUCAAAUGUUUGUGGCGAUUGUAUCCUUGUGCCAUGAAUAUUUUUACUCAGCAGAUCAAUAUAAACAUAUUGGCUAUCUAUUUACCAAUUCUGAAUUUAAAGCACUUUAUUUUAUGGCCUUGAGUAAAAGUUCAGUCAUUGUUGGCUGGAAGACAUCUUCAAUACGCCGUCAACACGAGCUUACCAAGGUAAUGAUCUAUUUAUUAUCAGCCCAUAUCUGGUUUGUAACAGGGUUAUUAUGUUUCAAAAUCCUCUGGCAUCAGAAAGGAGAUUUUGUGGAUGAUGUAAGAUAUCCACAUGUUGUAUAUGUGGAAAAACCAAAGGCUCGGGAUGUUGAUUUUUCGGAUGAAAUGAUUUAUCAGGCAAAAACUACAAGUGAAAUGGAAGAAGUAACGCUCAAAAGCCUGAAUAGAAUUCCUUGGCAAAGGGUAGAUGUUAGCUUCAAGAGAAGUAGACAAUGGAUUUUUGCCCAUAGCACCAUUCAGGUCCAGUUGUCGUUGCCUUCACUUGCUUUGUCGUUUACCCAUCUGUCAGCUCGCCGAUCCCCUGACUUGCUGUCAAGAUUCUAGGAUAUUAACAUUUGCAGCCAUACAUUGGUUUCAAUGGUGACAGAUUUCUGUCAAUCCC